CCUACGGGAGGCAGCAGUGAGGAAUAUUGGUCAAUGGGCUUACGCCUGAACCAGCCAAGUCGCGUGAGGGAAGACUGCCCUAUGGGUUGUAAACCUCUUUUGUCAGGGAGCAAAGCCGGCUACGUGUCGCCGGACUGCGAGUACCUGAAGAAAAAGCAUCGGCUAACUCCGUGCCAGCAGCCGCGGUAAUACGUAGGAUUCAAGCGUUCUCCGGAUUUAUUGGGUUUAAAGGGAGCGUAGGCGGUCGGUUAAGUGAGAUGUGAAAGCCCGAGGCUCAACUGCGGAGUUGCCUUUGAUAAUGGGCGGCUAGAGAGUAGUAGAGGUAGGCGGAAUGUAUGGUGUAGCGGUGAAAUGCUUAGAGAUAAUGCAGAACACCGAUUGCGAAGGCAGCUUAC
RNAcentral lists this ribosomal RNA (395 nucleotides) under uncultured bacterium. RNAcentral's name for it is "partial 16S ribosomal RNA". It matches the Rfam family "Bacterial small subunit ribosomal RNA", at positions 338 to 729 of the family's 1533-position model. The record is from RNAcentral.